Molecule: non-coding RNA, 31 nt
Filed under: Rattus norvegicus (Norway rat)
Lineage: Eukaryota; Metazoa; Chordata; Mammalia; Rodentia; Muridae
Source: RNAcentral
UGCCUGUAGUUAAACCACAUCUCUCCUGAGC